This 492-nucleotide ribosomal RNA is filed under the name uncultured bacterium. Its description in RNAcentral is "partial 16S ribosomal RNA". It matches the Rfam family "Bacterial small subunit ribosomal RNA", at positions 29 to 507 of the family's 1533-position model. The record is from RNAcentral.
AGUGAACGCUGGCGGUAGGCCUAACACAUGCAAGUCGAACGGCAGCACAGUAAGAGCUUGCUCUUACGGGUGGCGAGUGGCGGACGGGUGAGGAAUACAUCGGAAUCUACUUUUUCGUGGGGGAUAACGUAGGGUAACUUACGCUAAUACCGCAUACGACCUCCGGGUGAAAGCAGGGGAUCUUCGGACCUUGCGCGAUUGAAUGAGCCGAUGUCGGAUUAGCUAGUUGGCGGGGUAAAGGCCCACCAAGGCGACGAUCCGUAGCUGGUCUGAGAGGAUGAUCAGCCACACUGGAACUGAGACACGGUCCAGACUCCUACGGGAGGCAGCAGUGGGGAAUAUUGGACAAUGGGCGCAAGCCUGAUCCAGCCAUACCGCGUGGGUGAAGAAGGCCUUCGGGUUGUAAAGCCCUUUUGUUGGGAAAGAAAAGCAGCAGGUUAAUACCCCGCUGUUCUGACGGUACCCAAAGAAUAAGCACCGGCUAACUUCGUG